UCCGGUGACUCUGGCGAAGGGGAAACACCCGUUCCCAUUCCGAACACGGCAGUUAAGCCCUUCAGCGCCGAUGGUACUGCAUGCGUAAGUGUGUGGGAGAGUAGGUCGUUGCCGGGG
This 117-nucleotide ribosomal RNA is filed under the name Acidobacteriota bacterium. Lineage: Bacteria; Pseudomonadati; Acidobacteriota. The record is from RNAcentral.